Heterocephalus glaber (naked mole-rat) is the source of this 9415-nucleotide non-coding RNA. The record is from RefSeq and is a predicted model, not a curated record. Lineage: Eukaryota; Metazoa; Chordata; Mammalia; Rodentia; Bathyergidae.
CGCCCUCAGCCAGCGCGCCGCGGACGUUGGCCUCUGCGACGCAUCCACGGGCGCCUUUUCUUCUGCCCGCAAACCUCCGCCCGGAGCAAACCGUUCCCGGGCUCUUGUGUACCCGCGGACGAGAGGACGGGGAAGGCGUCAGGCUUGCUCCCUCGGGGAGGCUCUCUGACUGUGUGGGCCGGGGCGUUUUGGCGGGAAUGCGGAGGCGACUCCCUGACCUUUGCCUGCAAGGACUCACCUUGCGCAGGACCAGGAAGGGGCAGUGGACGAGGCCCUGCUGGGCGCCCUCACUGCUGACAGAGACAGCGGCCAGAGGCCUGAAUCUCCGACCUCAGCCACUCCUGUGGAGUGAAGCCAGCGCUUUCCGCGGAGUUUACUAAGACUUCAUUCAGAAGACGCCUGUAGUGUUCUGCCUUGGCCUGGCUUCUAUUUUUUAGGAAGAAGCAGUACUAGUUCUUCAAAUGUUGGCUAGAAUUCAGCAGUGAAGCCAUCAAGCCCUGAGCUUUUCUUGGGCUUGCUCUGUGGCCUCAUGUAUGACCUUCUCUCAGGUAUCUCUGCGCUGCUGAGAAGAGGGAGUGUCUGCAGCCACUGCGGGGAAUGUCUUGCAAUCGUUCCGAGGACUGCUUCAGAUCCUCACCCUGCAUCUUGGAAAGUUACCUACCCUUCAGCCUCCAUUUCCCCAGCUGUAGAUGGGACGUAAGAGAUGGCCCCUACUGCACAGGACUGCUGUGGGCUUCAUAUGGAUGCCAUAUGGGAAGAGCAGACACAUACUAAGACACGAGGAAGAGAUGGCCAUCUACACUGAGGGACAUCUGAGGCCACCUGAGGCUGAAGAGAGCCCCAGAGCGACUCUCCGCACAAUUCCUCAGAAGGAAACAGGGCUAAUUCCAGACCCUCGGACUCCAGAGCUGGGACAAAAUACUUUUCCAGUGUUUAAUUCCUCUAGUGCAGGAUACCUUCUUACAGUGGCCCCAGCAGAGCAUCAUACACCACUCAUCAUCAGCGUAAACUUCCCUGCUGCCAGCUGUCUUCCGCCAUGCUGUCCUGACUUGGAGCCAGUAGACUAUGAACUGCAAUGUGAGCCAAAAGAAACUUUCCCUCCUUUAUGGCGUGAGUAUUGGGCAUUGUAUCAGCAAUAAGGAAAGUAACUAACAUGCCGAUUUUGAGAGCCAGAGACAGCGCUUCCCAGCUCCCCUUGCAGGUAGGCAUCCCGCUGACUGUUCUCGCUGGUGGAUGGAACGUGAGGUGCGCCAUUCUGCAGUGCUUCCAAGUGCAGAUUGGUUCUCUCCAAUCUUGCUCUUUCCCCUGGUUGCAGGCUGCAGUGUGGUCAUGGGUAGCCAUGGAUGCUUGACUUUUACUAUCAGGCACUGCACAACAGGAUAGGAGGAAUUGGGGACCUGGGAGACCUUGUGGGGCAGAGAUCCUGGGGCCCCUGAGCUGCCUCCUUUCCUCUGGACUGUCAUGGGAUGGAGAAGCUCCCAUCUUCUUUGAACCACUAUGUUUCAGGAAACUUGGGCUAUAGUAGUUUAACCCACAGAUGCUGUUUGCCUUCUGUUGCUUUUAGAGAUGGUCAUGUAAGCCUGAAGGCAGAAGUUUCCUCUCAGAUUACCUGUUUUACUGAAAUGUAUUGGGGUACAAUACACUACAAUUCUAAGUGUGCACUUGGAUAGGUUUUGACACAUGUAUAUACCUGCAAAACACGCAUAUAGCACUUCUUGAACUUAGAGCACUGGCAAGGGCUGGAGGGUUUGAUUUUGAUUGUAUCGGUAGAGUAGGUAGAGGGCUCUGGAGAGGCUGUGAUGCUCCUCUAUUCCUGGGCUUGGCUGGGGGCUGGAUGGAGACCCCACAGCCUGUGCCCUUGACUUUCUACCUCUAUUACGAGUUCAUCUGUCCAGAGUGUGCAGGGCUUGAGGCUCUACUUGAGACUCCUGGUUCAAAGACAAAGGACUGUGUGACAGUUAAGCUGGAUUGUCAAGUUGACUCACUUCAGAGCCACCUGGGGAUUAGUAGUGCACACUCCUGGGCGUGUCUGGUUGGGUCACAGAGGCUUGACAUCAGGUACUAUAUCCAAACCCUCACUCUUUCAUCUCCAGAACUGUUCAUUUGCUCAGCCACCAUGAAGUAAGCAUCUUUGCUCUACUACAGCCUUCUGCCAUGAUAUUUCUGCCUUGGAGUCAACUGACCAUGGACUGAAUCUCCCAAAACCAUGAACCAAAUUAAACUUCUUUAAGUUGUGGGUGUCAAAUAUUUGGACCCAGUGAUGACAAACUGUGUAAUACAUUGUAUUACUGACAGCAGUAGCAGCAUUUUCCUGUGUGGUUCCCCAAGCUCCCAUUGCCAUAGGGUUACUGAUGAGGGGCGGGGGUGCCUGUAUGCACAGCAGGCUAGUUCCAGGAGAGGAACUCUGAGCUUAGGGAAGUGAAGUCUUCUGUCCUGGGAAAUGUUGGCUUUUUCUUUGUGCUGAAAGGAAAUCUGAUCUCUAUCUUCCAAAGCCUGUAAGUCAAUCUGCCCUUGGUUCUGGGAGACAAUCUUAUCUCCUAAGGCUGUGUGACCAACAUCACUGACACAAUUGUCUGGAAUAAUGAGAUGUCACCCCCCCCCCUUUUGAGAUAAUCAGGAAGAGUGUCUCCCAAAAAUAUAUUACAGAGGGGUCUGAAUUAGAGUUGAAACCUCUAACAUGGAGGAAAAACUAGUGUUGAGGACACAGUGACGAGGUGCCAGAGUGUCCUCUUCCACCAAAGCUGCAGGUUAUUAGGACAAGGUCCUAGAAGGAAAGGGUGCAUACUCAGAACAGCUGAAGGACUGUUUUCAAAAUAGGUCUAAGGAAAUCAGUGAGCUGUGACAAAGCAUCCUGAGACUAGCCAUCCUGAAAGAUCUUAUUCCUUGACCUCGAGGGCCCUCGAGGGCCAGGGAAGGAGGAGUUACCGGACCCAAUGACAGCUGUUGCCAAAGCUCUGAAAGGGUCCUACAUUAGUCACUUUCCUAUCACUAGGACAAAUACACAGCACUUUAAAGGAGGAGAGAUUUAUUUUGGCUCACAGUUUCAGGGGCUUCAAUUCAUGGUUGGUCGGCUCCAGGGAAGAAAUGGUAAGGGAGAAGUGUAUGGAGGAGAAAAGCUACUCACCUCAUGUCAGCCAAGAAGUAGAGAGAGAAGGGAAGAAUCAGGCACCGGAAAACACCCUUAUAGGUCACAUCCUACUUCCUGUAGCACAUUCAGCUAUGAAAUCAUCAAUGGAUGAAUCCACAGAUAAAUACAGCAUUCACAUGAUCCAGUCACCUUCCAAACACAUGAGACUUUGAGGGGGACAUUUUAGAUCCAAACCAUAACAAGGCCACUUGGCAUGAGCCAUGUCCUUCCAUGGAAAAGCACAGCUUUUUCCAGGGGAGGGGGGACUCCCUCUUCCUCUCCCCUGUGUCUUUUGCUGCCACUUCCUUUUAUCUAUUAACCCAGCUGGGAGCCUGAAGUCAUAGGAGAUUGACUGGUGCCCACAAGGGUCUCCUCCUGGCACCUGGUGGGUGACAGACCUAAGGAGCAUGUCUGGAGGGGCCAGCAAAGCCCACAGAGCACCCGGGUCGGAUGACAUAGCAUUUAGAGGCAAAAGUGGUCCCUUAUCCCCAGGGUACACUGGGGCUUUGACCUCUCAAGGAGAAAGCUCAAGGGAAAGUGGAAGGAACAACAAGAAGUCAUUAGCCCCUUUAGAAAUGGCCCUUUAUCCUUACCUUAUCUCCUCUCCCUCUUACCUUAUCUCCUCUCCCUCCCUCCUUCCUUGCUUCCUUCCUUCCUUCCUUUCUGGUGCCGGGGAUUGAAUCCAGGAACCUCACACAGGCCCUUUUCAUUUUUUAUUUUGAAGGUCUAAAUUGCUGAGGCUGAUUUUAAGCUGGUGAUCCUCCUGCCUCAGCCUCCUGAGUAGCUGGGAUUACAGGUGUGCACCAUCAUGGCCAAUUUUCUUUUCCCUUUCUCGGUGGAACUCUGCUUUGUUAAUUCUGACACCUGCCUGGGACUGAGUCCUGUGAACGGCCAUAUUGGUGGGCUUGUCUAGAACUCAGGGCUUGAGGGGGUUCCUUGAGGACAGGGUUCCCAGUACCAGGACACAGAUGGGGCUGGGGAACAUCCUGAGAGGACUCUCUGGAGAGUUGGGAAAGCCCCACACUGGGGCCUCAUACUUGGGAGCUGAGGCUUGGAGAUCUGGAAAUGUGAAUUCUAAGGAAGGCCUGAAGGGUGCUCAGGGCAGACUCCGUCCUGCGCCUUCUCUGGGGACAGGAGGGAGCCCAGGCUCUGGCCACGCUUCCGUGUGGCUUCCCUAACCACAGUAUUAACUUUAUUUUCUACAAAGAAAACAAGGAGAAAAACCGAUUCUUCUGAUUAGCAGGGAAGUGGUCCAACUGGCUACACUUGAAUUACACCCUCUGAAUAUUAAACUCAGACUUCUUUAGUUCUCAUUUAUUUUAUUGGAUUUUAUGGAGAUAUUUUAAAAGAGGAAGGUGGGAGGUGGAGAGGGAAGGCUGCAGCACAAAUGGUGUUUCCAGAAGUCUCCAGCAGACACAAGAGAGUCCUUAGCCAAGUCAAAGCUUCCGGGUUCCUGCUUUCCAGCAAGCUGGGGAGUCUGCUGAACUCAGAUUCCUGGCUGCUGGUUUCCUUUCAGCAGCUUCUUCCCCACGGUGGUGAUGUGCUUCUCUGUGAUCUGAAUUCUCAGCGCCCUGGACAAAGUCCACAGGCACUCACGUUUCCCACCGCUCUAAAAGCACUGUGAUUUUCAAUAAAUAACCCACAGCUGAAGCACAACAUUUUGUUUUGAUUUGUCACAAAGCAUUUCCCAGCAUCUUUGUCCUGAUCCGAGGUGAGCACAUCUCAGCUGCAGAGUAGAGUCCAAGCUGACUGCAGUGCUCAGGACCUGGGCUCCACUUGGUGAGUGGCUUCAGGGCCUGGCAGGUGACCCUAGCUACGAGUCUCCAGAAGAGUCAAUAUGGGGGAAGCUCCUCCCAAAGAAGUAACAGUGCGGGUGGCCAUUGCGAUCUACCUAGCCUGGGCACACCUGGUGGGAUGGCAGGGACACUGUACAGGCAGAGAGGGACAAGGUGUCGGGAAACUCCCGGGCAUCCAGGUGGCAGUGGGCACUCUCCAUAGGGCAAUCAGCCUCAGAGGAGGGGAGCCUUGAACUUCACACCUGCUGUGAAGCAACGCAGACUCCCUGGGCUGGCUGAGCUCCUUGGGACAGCAAGGCCCCAGAGGGACUUCAGUGUCAUUUGUCCUCUACAUGGCUGGGGUUGUCCAGGGACCCUGACCUCACCUGGCAAGAGACUGGCCUCAUAGUCUGGGGUCCCCAAGCACAGGACACAGGCCCUGAUGCAGCCUCUCUGGCUCCACUCCAACUCCCACUGGCCAGGGACCAAGCAGCGGCACAAACUCUGGGACUUGUCCCAGUCACACAGAGGGCUCGUGGCAGCGCUGGACAAGUGUCCAGGUCUUGAAUCUAAUGAAGGGCUCUUGACCCCAAAAGCUUUACUUCUAGUCCUGAGUUUUUGCCUGAGCUGAGAAUGAGACUUUUGCUUGUUUUUUCUAAGAUUGUGAAAUGUAAUCUUAUUUUCCUUCCUUAAGUUUGACUUUUAUCAAAAUUUUACAUGGAUCCAAUUUAAGGGCUCCAAAAAUUUCCAGUCUGCCAUGAAAACCAGCUACCAACCUCUCCUCCCUGUCUCUGUCCCCAGAGUUCACAACUUUCUGAGCCUGACGUGUUUGUAAUGACUUUCAUGUUAUCAAGCAGCAUGCUCACAUUGCUUCCUGGAGUCAUCUGUUUGGGCUCCUCAUGGUGGAAGAAGGAGCUUCAGUUGUCUCUGUCUUUCUUUCUCCCCCUACCUCCCUGAAUCCUCCCAGCUGUGCAGGCAUUUCUGUCUCGCUUUGGCCCAGGUUAAUCUCUGUCUUUGUGUGUCUAUGGUUGUUUGUAUGUGGUUUGAACAUGUCGGGAUAUUGUCUCAUUUCUGUUUCUGAAGUUGCCUCUCCUGGAGGUUUCUGACUUGACCCAGUGUAAGUAAUUGUCUGGGUUGGCUUCCCGUCACCACAGCAAACACCUGAAGUAAUCAAUAGACAAAGGUGCCGGGGAUUUAGCUCAGUGGUUCCGCCGCCUGCCUCGAAAGCACAAGGACCCGAGUUCAAUCCCCGGUACCAAAAAAAAGAAAGACAAAGGUUUACUUUGGCUCAUGAAUUUGGAGGAUCCGGUCCAUUGGCUCCAUUUGCUUUGGGCCCAUGGUGAGGCGGCACAACAAGGCAGGUGUGUGUGGCGGAGCAGAACUGGCCCAGAAGCAAAAGAGAGAGGAACACACCAGGCUCCCAGAGUCCUCUUCAAGGUCACACCCUGGGGGACUGAAAGCCCCCCACUGGGCCCGACCACUUGGAGUUCCCAUCACCUCCCAGCAGUGACAUGGGCUGGAGAUCACGCCUUUAACACACGGGCCACCCCGGAGCCCAACUAGAGUUCUGAUGCAGAGCUAUACUCCAGGCUCUCCCUGCAUCAGCCUGAGCAUCCCCAAAGCCUUUCCCCCGGGAUCCAUCCUGUUUUCUUAUAAGCCACAUCUCUCUCUUAGUUUUUUUUUUUUUUUAAUGUACAUCCUCUUGGAGCUUUCUGAUGAAAAGUGUAUGGGGGCGAUAUCCAAGAUCCUGCAUGUCUGGAGCUAUCUGUGCUCACACUCGCUAGCCUGAUGGAGAUUUCCAGCAUAAAGGCAAUGUUCCUGCAGCACCAUGCCACAGCUUUCUAGGUGUGGGUGGUGGCCCCAAAGGUGCCCUACGCUGUUAAGAGUCUUGAUCCUUUGUGCGUGAUCCACAUGUUCUCUUUGGAAGACUGUAGGCUCUUCUCUUGUCUCCAGGGAUCUGGAAUCUGAGGCUGACAUACCUGGUAGUGGGUUCCUUUUUGUCCCAGAUGCUGGACACUCGGUGGAAACUUUCAGUCUGAAAACUCGUAUCUUCUGCUCUGGAAAAUAUUUUUCUUCAUAGAUUUUCUCUCUUUUUUGAUUCUCCUUAUUCAUGCAUUGAACUUUGGUAAUUUCUUUGGUAAUUUCUAUUACUCAUAUAUUGAACUACAUGGAAAGAGCUCUCAUUUUUAAAAAUCUUUUUUCUCUCCCUUUUCCAUUAUUCUUUGUUAUUUUCCUCUACUUUCUGGAAUAUUUCCUUAAAUUUAUCUUCCACGUCUUUACAUUUCUAAUUAUUAUAUUUUUAAAUUCCAAGACAAAAAUUUUGGCCUGGGUGGGGCAGGGGAGAAAAGCACUUCUUUUAUACGGCAGCCUGUUUUUAUUUCAUGAAUGUAAUGACAUUCCUCUUUCUUUCUUAGCCUAUGUUUCUCACGUUCCUUUUUCCUUUCUUUGUGUCUCUGUUUCAUCUUACAGGCUUCCUCAGACACAGGGUGGUUGGUCGCACUGUCUUCUGCCUGUACGCCUAUCAUGCCUCCUGAGCUCAUCUCUCCGCUCUGGUCUUUCUCAUCUUCUAGUCCAUCUGGCCUAACCCUGUGCAACCAGUCUUCAGCACUCACUCCAACACAUUGUUCUGUUGAUGAAAAGCCUUCCGUGGCUCUGUAUUGCCCCCAUCAUCAGGCCUAAGCUUUGUUGAUUUAACAUUUGCAGAUCCUGACUCUACACAGUCUAUACACAUCUCUUGCCUUGGACCAUGGAUACCUAUGGAUCCACCUGUGGAUCCAAAGCUGGAGAUUAGGAAAUACCUCUCCAUGAUGAUACAGACUUGAUGUCCAGGAAUACCCCCAAGCCUCAGGCGCUGGGAGCCAGGGCUUGUGGAAGGUGACUGGAUCAUGGAGCAUUACAGCUGGCUUGCUGUUAGGAGGUAGAGUCUAGACAAUAGUACGGUAACUGGGAGGUGAACUGGAAGGGCUCCUCUCCCUCCCAGCUCCGCGCUUCUCUCUGCUUUCCUGUCUGCCAUGCCACGAGGAGCUCUUGCCUGCCCAGCCCCUCUGCUAUGCCACCCUGCCUUGGAAUCAGCUAACUCUGGGCUGGAAACAUGAGCCUGAAUAAAGCUCUCCUUCUUUAAGCUGUGCAUGUCCGGUAUUGUGUCCCAGCAAUGGGGAAGUGACUGAUAUGCACCCUUUCUUCACAAAUAUUAUGAAUGUCUUCUCACAGUUCUGUGAUGCCCAUCCACAUCCUUAUGUCCACCUUCCAGGUAGAGAAACACUGGCUCAGACAAGGCAAGUGGAAACAGGGAUUCCUAUCUGGGCUAGGUGCUCUGCUCAUCAUGCUGUCUAUGGACUGCUCCAGAGUCACCGGAUGACAAGCCUUCGACCGGAAGUCACAUGCCAGAUCCACAGAGCAGAACCCCCGUAUCACUCUGGGGAGCCCUGCGCCUUCCCCUCACAUGCAGUAUUCUCCUGUGCACACCGUGCUUCCCUCACGAGUGCAUGCAAAGCUCUAGCUGCUCUGUCCCAGGCUUCAAGGACAAUCAGACUUGGCCUGCUGCCUUCUUUCCAUAUACCCUUUCACACACCAGAAACUUCUCUCCAAGACUGCAGACCUCUGGCUUGGACCAAGAAACCUGGAAUUGUUUAAGAGAAUGUUAAUUUCCUUUGAGCUAGGAUUACAGGCCGUCGAGAACUUCUUAAUAAAUGGCCACACUGCUGUUUUGAAGUGUUUAUGGACUUGCCAACACAGCCUUGAAGGGCAUGCUAAAUACUGUGAGUUGUCUUUUUUGGAAACCAGGAUCUGCUGGAAGCUGACCAGGGCCAGAGCCCCGUGCCCUGUCAUUUCUUCGGUGAGACUUCUGGAUGGCUUUGUUUAUAGUCCUCUCCUGCAUUUGUUCCCUGACAUCACUUUUGUUUUAUGAGUUUUGGGGAAAUGAAUCUUUUAACGACUCAAUCCCACCACUUCCUUGGAGGUAAAAUCAAGCCAAACCUUGUUUUAUUUUAUUUUUCAGUUUCUCUUCCCUUGGAUGGACUAUCGAAGAAAGUAACUGUGCAAAAACCCAGCAAGCCCGUUUCAGCGCAGAUGCUAAUUGGCCUGAGGACGUUGGACAAGACAGCUCCUCUGAGCCUCGAGUUCUUGAUGAGGGUUAAGCAGAUGACCCAGCGCUGGUGCUCUGUAAAUGAAGCAUACUUGCUUCUGGUCUCACAGUUUCCAUGGAAUCCGAAGACUGAAAUACCCUGAGCUUCCUGUGAUGUCCCCUUAAGGCUCUAUGAUGAGGACCUUCAGUGGCCCCUUCUCAGGUUGAGGAGGUGAAGAAUGUUUUCCAAGAGAAACUUUUACCUCUUGCUGUCAAGCACAGAAGUCCUGCUAAGCUGUUUCUUUCUUUCUUUCUUUCUUUCUUUCUUUCUUUUUUCACUGUGAAAAUAAUUUUGUGAGAAAAUAUAAACCAGUUCAAUCACACUGAACUUUCAUAAGAUGAAAUGUUAAUAAAAUGGAUGUUUGACCAAUAAAAUACUUGAUUCCAAAU